GGCGGUUCUCAAGUGACACACCCCACCAUCGGCCUCCUUCCUCUCUGGUUCUGGGUGCAUCACCCAAGAACUGCA
Non-coding RNA from Myotis brandtii (Brandt's bat), 75 nucleotides. The record is from Rfam. Lineage: Eukaryota; Metazoa; Chordata; Mammalia; Chiroptera; Vespertilionidae.